Long non-coding RNA from Anopheles funestus (African malaria mosquito), 860 nucleotides. RefSeq lists it as uncharacterized. NCBI's taxonomy places the organism in Eukaryota, Metazoa, Arthropoda, Insecta, Diptera, Culicidae. The transcript has 3 exons. The record is from RefSeq and is a predicted model, not a curated record.
UUAUUUAAAGCAUUAUUUGAAUGAAAAGAAACCUAUUUCAACCAAUUGGUAUUAAAAUAUAUCAAAUUUAUAAAUUUUGCUAAAUUGCUCAAAAAUGAGGAAAAUUUUACAUUUUAUCAAACAGGGUAAGGAACUUGGUUUCUCGAAUAACUUCUGGCACAGACAUCUGAGGGCAAGGCCGUCCAAGAAGAAAAUGUAGCCAUUGGUGUCAUCUAUCGACCACAGGUUAAAGAUUGGCGAUCCGUUGGAUACCGACCGAGUUAUAGCCAAAACUUGGUGCAAAAAUGAGGAAAAUUUUACAUUUUAUCAAACAGGGUAAGGAACUUGGUUAGUCGCAUAAUUUCUGGCACAGACAUCUGAGGGCAUGGCCGUCCAAGAAGAAAAUGUAGCCAUUGGUGCCAUCUAUCGACCACAGGUUAAAGAUUGGCGAUCCGUUGGAUACCGACCGACUUAUAGGCAAAACUUGGUGCAAAAAUGAGGAAAAUUUUACAUUUUCUCAAACAGGGUAAGGAACUUGGUUUCUCGAAUAACUUCUGGCACAGACAUCUGAGGGCAUGGUCGUCCAAGAAGAAAAUGUAGCCAUUGGUGCCAUCUAUCGACCACAGGUUAAAGAUUGGCGAUCCGUUGGAUACCGACCGAUUUAUAGGCAAAACUUGGUGCAAAAUUGAGGAAAAUUUUAGAUUUUCUCAAACAGGGUAAGGAACUUGGUUUCUCGAAUAACUUCUGGCACAUACAUCUGAGGGCAUGGUCGUCCAAGAAGAAAAUGUAGCCAUUGGUGCCAUCUAUCGACCACAGGUUAAAGAUUGGCGAUCCGUUGGAUACCGACCGAGUUAUAGGCAAAAUUUGGUGCAAAAAUGAGC